GUGCAUGUAACACAAGUCUUCGCAGCAAGGCGGCGUGCAAGAGUUCGUCUCGUCGGAGGAUCUUCGCGCUGUCCUUCCGGAGUAAAAGAACUGAAGGCGCUUGGGUGGCAAUUAAGCACGAACGCGCUCGGUUCCCGACCGGCCGAGCGUGCGCCUCUCACCCAGGGAAAUCUCGCCCGGCGUCAGCGCUGCCCGGCCCGGCAAUCGGAGCUUCCGCGGCGCCGAUGCGGGGCGGCUCUUCCAGGGCGAGAGGAAGCCCGCGUGGGCUUGACCGGCAGGCACGUUUCUCGGGAGGAUGAGGACGAAAGGCCGCCGGCCCCAGCCCGACGUUUUGCCGGUCAGGGUAACGGGUUACACUUCGAGCAGUUCGGAGGUUUCCAAUCGGUGGAAGCGCUGAGAAAGGGGUGCUCGGAAUGAAGAGCAAUCUUGCCCUCACGUGCACUGUGAGUGGUCUUCGUCCAAGCCAGGCUGUGUCCACAAGCUUCCAGCUGACAUUUGGAAGAAAGAUACGCUUCUUCUGAGCUGAUUUUGGAGAGUUCUACAAAUACGCCUCAUGGCCCCGUUCUCGGACCUCUGACCCCACUCCCACGUGAGGGCCAGGACAGAUCAGCGCAGCCCUGUGUGUGGUUCAUGUCUUCCAAGGUUCACAUCAGCUCCUCCAAGAGCUUCAUGCCUCCGUGACGACGAAUGUCACUUGGACAUAAAGGGGGUGAGUGUAUGAUGCUUGGCCGCCAUUCCCGUAUUCCCGAAACGUGCUGUUUCACGGACUGUCUGGUGCGUUUCGACAAGAAUGAUCUGGGAGAGGACUAUGCACCUGAUGUUCCUG
Prionailurus viverrinus (fishing cat) is the source of this 826-nucleotide long non-coding RNA. RefSeq lists it as uncharacterized. Lineage: Eukaryota; Metazoa; Chordata; Mammalia; Carnivora; Felidae. The transcript is spliced from 3 exons. The record is from RefSeq and is a predicted model, not a curated record.